GGGCAUAAUGGUCAUUUCGCCCUUUGGUAAAAAAGUUCCAGCACACUCUGAUCAUCUCCAUAAUCAUAUUCAUUCAAUCUUCACUCUUCGGAUAUAUCUCUUUUCUCUGGAAGAUAUUCAACGCUGCUUCAUGUAGCUAUUUUUGGUCAGGUUUUCUCAGCUUCAGCUACACCACGGAGACUUCAUCAUGGUGAAUCGAACAGCUAUUACGAGCUUCAGCUAUGCCAUUGAAAAAUUUAGUGGUGAGGUCUUGGACUUCUGUGUGAAGGGUAUAAUACUUAAAGUUGCUGAUUGGAUGAUUGUUGCUUCUGGGGGUGCUUAUGAUACAAAAAAUCUUCAGGAGUGCAUGGGAUCAGCUGUUAUUGCUAUGGGACCAGAGAAACAGUUUUCCUGAAUAUGAAGGAUUACUCUUUGUCAAACAGUUGGUUGAUUCCUGUUUUAAAUAAAUAUGUAUGUGGAUCAUCACUUGGGUUCUUUAUGAAGCAUGUGGUGCCACUUGUUGUGUCCUUCGAACAAGCAUCAUCAAAAGGUAGGCAUAUGUUGUUGUGCUUUUGUAUGUUUGACUCAGUGGUACAAUUUAAUACUUCACAGAUAAGCAUGGUUAUAGGAUAAAUAGUAACUCUUUCUAUGGCAAUUAAAUAGCGAAGUAUCACUAUCUUUUCUCUGAUCGGGAAGAGUGGAGUCA
Long non-coding RNA from Capsicum annuum, 685 nucleotides. RefSeq lists it as uncharacterized. The transcript is spliced from 3 exons. The record is from RefSeq and is a predicted model, not a curated record. Lineage: Eukaryota; Viridiplantae; Streptophyta; Magnoliopsida; Solanales; Solanaceae.